RNAcentral lists this ribosomal RNA (1023 nucleotides) under uncultured archaeon. RNAcentral's name for it is "bacterial SSU rRNA". It matches the Rfam family "Archaeal small subunit ribosomal RNA", at positions 323 to 1348 of the family's 1478-position model. The record is from RNAcentral.
CUACGGGACGCAGCAGGCGCGAAAACUUUACAAUGCAGGAAACUGUGAUAAGGGAACCCCGAGUGCCCGUAAACGCGGGCUGUCCCUGUGUUUAAAACACAUCGGAAGAAAGGGCCGGGCAAGACCGGUGCCAGCCGCCGCGGUAAUACCGGCGGCUCGAGUGGUGACCACUUUUAUUGGGCUUAAAGCGUUCGUAGCUUGAUUUUUAAGUCUCUUGGGAAAUCUCACGGCUUAACUGUGAGGCGUCUAAGAGAUACUGGGAAUCUAGGGACCGGGAGAGGUAAGAGGUACUUCAGGGGUAGAAGUGAAAUUCUGUAAUCCUUGAGGGACCACCGAUGGCGAAGGCAUCUCACCAGAACGGCUUCGACAGUGAGGAACGAAAGCUGGGGGAGCGAACGGGAUUAGAUACCCCGGUAGUCCCAGCCGUAAACUAUGCGCGUUAGGUGUGCCUGUAACUACGAGUUACCGGGGUGCCGAAGUGAAAACGUGAAACGUGCCGCCUGGGGAAGUACGGUCGCAAGGGCUGAAGCUUAAAGGAAUUGGCGGGGGAGCACCACAACGGGUGGAGCCUGCGGUUUAAUUGGACUCAACGCCGGGCAGCUCACCGGAUAGGACAGCGGAAUGAUAGCCGGGCUGAAGACCUUGCUUGACCAGCUGAGAGGAGGUGCAUGGCCGUCGUCAGUUCGUACUGUGAAGCAUCCUGUUUAGUCAGGCAACGAGCGAGACCCACGCCAACAGUUGCUAGCAUGUUCUCCGGAAUGAUGAGGACACUGUUGGGACCGCCUCUGCUAAAGAGGAGGAAGGAAUGGGCAACGGUAGGUCAGCAUGCCCCGAAUUAUCCGGGCUACACGCGGGCUACAAUGGUCAGGACAAUGGGAAACGGCACUGAAAAGUGUAGUCAAUCUCCUAAACCUGUCCCAAGUUCGGAUUGUGGGCUGCAACUCGCCCACAUGAAGCUGGAAUCCGUAGUAAUCGCGUUUCAAAAUAGCGCGGUGAAUAAGUCCCUGCUCCUUGCACACACCG